AACGAACGCUGGCGGCAUGCCUAACACAUGCAGGUCGAACGGGACCUUCGGGUCUAGUGGCGCACGGGUGCGUAACGCGGGGGAACCUGCCCGUAGGUUCGGAAUCACUCCCCGAAAGGGGUGCUAAUACCGGUUAAUCUCUUCGGGCCAAAGAGUUCUCGCCUUGGGAUGGGGCCGCGUUGGAUUAGCUAGUUGGUAGGGUACAAGCCUACCAAGGCGACGUUCCAUAGCUGGUCUGAGAGGAUGAUCAGCCACAAUGGGACUGAGACACGGACCAGACUCGUACGGGAGGCAGCAGUGGGGAAUAUUAGACGAGGGGCGAUAGUCUAACCAAGCAAUGCCGCGUGAGUGAGCAAGGCCUUAGGGUUGUACAUCUCUUUUACCCGGGAUGUGAAUGACAGUACCGGGAGAAUAAGCUCCGGCUAACUCCGUG
This 433-nucleotide ribosomal RNA is filed under the name uncultured bacterium. Its description in RNAcentral is "partial 16S ribosomal RNA". It matches the Rfam family "Bacterial small subunit ribosomal RNA", at positions 29 to 507 of the family's 1533-position model. The record is from RNAcentral.